AUUUUGUAUACUUUUUAGAGACUGGGGUUUUUAUUUCUAAAUUUUAGUGCCAAACUAUAGGAUACAUCACAUCAAUACUGUGUGUGUUUGGUUAAUGAAUAACCAGUCUUGAUUACUGCAUGGUAUUGUAAUAAAAAUCCAUUUGCUUUUCUGUAGUUUAUAACAAGUCUUCCUACAUUUUGUCUCAUCUGGUGCUCUUUCUAAUAGCCCAGUGUGUGUUAUCUUCAGGUUACCCUCACUCAGGUGAGUAAUCUCAAGGUGACUGGUUUAAGGAAUCAUCUCAAGAUUACAUAAUAGUUUUUUGAAAUAGUGUUUAGAAAUAAAAGCAAGUUUAUGUGGAGACUUAUACCUUUGCUACGCAUAGCUACAAAUUUAGCUCAAAGCUCUAUGGCAGUUCAGUUUUUCCAGUUACAUUUCAGAGAUUAUGUGUUACAGGCUGAGAACAAGAACUUAAGAGAACAAGUACCCACAGGUCUUCUAACUGCGAAACCUAUGCUCUUUCUAGUGUGUAAUCCUAUUCCUCUAUUUACUGUCUUUGGAACCCAGCUUAGUUUCAGGUUAAAAGUCUUUGAAGCCUCUAGGUCUGACGGUUAAAACCUUGUGUCAGGUUCUCACUUUCCACAGGUGUUUUCAGUAGUAUAAAAAGGCAGAUUUCAAAAGGCUUUUUUUUUUUUUUGGUUAAAAGAUUACUAUUGAAGGGAUCUUUAAAAAAACAAUUAAGAAGGGCUGGGUGUGGUGGCUCACGCCUGUAAUCCCAGCACUUUGGGAGGCCGAGGCGGGUGGAUCACGAGGUGAGGAGAUCAAGACCAUCCUAGCUAACACGGUGAAACCCCAUCUCUACUAAAAAUAUAAAAAAUUAGCUGGGCGUGUUGGUGGGCACCUGUAGUCCCAGCUACUCAGGAGGCUGAGGCAGGAGAAUAGCGUGAACCCGGGAGGCGGAGCUUGCAGUGAGCUGAGAUGGCGCCACUACACUCCAGCCUGGGUGACAAAGCGAGACUCCGUCUCAAAAAAAAAAAAAAAUUAAUAUUUCUGAUAUUAUUUAGAGAGAUAGAUUCUGUGCUCUACAAAGAUUACUUUUUAGAAUAAAUAGGUCAGUUACUUAAACAUAUCCCUAAAAUUGGUUCUUUGGCUUGUAUAUUUUGAAGUCAGUGGCUUCUUGUUCCUGGUUUUUAGCUGACAUUCUUUUGGCAUGCUUUACUAGUUGAAUAGUUCCUCAAUAAAUACUUGCUGCUGUACAACAUGGAAAAAGAUAGGGGCAGUUCUAGAGAUAAAGGAUACAAGUAUUUGUGUUCCAAUCCAUGCAGGUAAAAAUGACUAAACCAGAAAUGUAAAUGAGGCAGGCCAAACCAAAGAUUACAAGAUUAAAGAACAAGGGCUGAAAUUCAGGCCCAGCGCGGCGGCUCACGCCUGUAAUUCCAGCACUCUGGGAGGCCGAGGCAGGCAGAUCACCUGAGGUCAGGAGUUUGAGAGCAGCCUGGCCAACAUGGCGCAACCCCAUCUCUACUAAAAAUACAAAAAAAUUAGCUGGGCGUGGUGGCACGCGCCUGUAGUCCCAGCUACUUGGGAGGCUGAGGCAGGAGAAUAGCUUGAACCCAGGAAGCGGAGGUUGCAGUGAGCCGAGGUCAUGCCACUGCACUCCAGCAUGGGCAAUAGAGCGAGACUCUGUCCCCCCGGAAAAAAAGAACAAGGGCUAAAUUCAAAUCAAAUUUUCCCUGUACCCUAAGAAAAAUAAUUAGGCCGGGAGAUGUUUGACUAAGUGAGUAGGCAUUGUUCUGUGACGGUCUGAGCCCCAGACCUUUCCUCUGGAUGAAUGCUGUCCCAGGUAAUGAAAUGACUUCACUUAUUAAUAUAUAGGUACACAGAGUUCAGGUAGAUGUGGAAUGAAUGGGGACUCGCCCCGUCUGCCCUUGAAUGUAUUUAGUGGUUUAUGUGAAAUGUACCUUUCAAAGUUGUCUGUAUGUUUCAUACUCUGGGGGUGGGAAUAUAAAUCAUUGCAGCCUUUUUGUAGGGCACUUUGGCAGUACUCAUCAAAAUAUGCGAUGUGCAGAUGCUUAGCCAGCAACUCCGCUUCUAUGAAUCUAGCCAACAGAAAUACUUGUAGAAGUGUGCAGCUAUAAAUGUCCACAGAGGCUCAGAGCCUCAUUGUUUUUAAUAGUGAACAGUUGGAAACCAAAUAGAUGUCUGUCAGUAGGGAUGUGGCAGAAUUGUGGCAUGUUUAUAUGGGUAUAGAAAGUAUGGAGGAACAUAGACCCAACUGUUGGUAAGAGUUAUCUCUGGAUGCAGGAAUAGGUAGGGGUUGAUGGGUACAGGGUCUCUACUUUGCAUAAUUUUGGGGCCACUGUUCACAUAGAACAUUUGCGAUGGAGUGGUGCUCCUCGAUUCGUUUAAUGGAGAGGGUUUGGAUGUGCUUUUGCUUUUUAUUUAACACAUGGGUAUAUUACUUUUCUUUUUCUGCAAAGAGCACUUAUUAAUUUUAUAGUUUUUUAAAUUGGCUUUGCCCGCUUCAGUAGUCACAGGUAGCUACCUGACCGAGAAGCCGACUUGGGAAUUACUGUUACUCGUGGGUGAUACUGUCAUAAAGGGGUUGAAAGUACUUGUUAGCUGUAUAUGUCAGAAUUGAUUAAAGAGAACCAACUAUUCUUGUGCAAGGGAUGGUAUUGUAGUUAAUUAUGACAUUUGGAGAAACUAAUUUCUGUCUGUCGACACUAUCUCUGUUCCAUUUAGACUUAGAGACUUACAUGGGCAAUGCUUGACUUUUUGCAUUCAGCACAGAAAGUUAAGUAAUCCACUGUGGUAAAAUAUUAACUAAAUUUAUAUGACUUCUUGACUGCUGUAAGUAGAGAAUAUUUAUCAUAUAAGCACCAUUUUCCUGAAUUUUUUGUUACUACAUAUUUUAUCUUACUGUCACUAUUGUGUAAAAUCUUUGAAAGGAAAAUGAAUACUGUGUAAUAGUUAAACCCAUUCAUAGGUUGCAAUAGAGUGUCAGCCAAAUGUGUCAUACAUCAAAUCUUCAGCAGCUUUUGCAUAAUCCAGGAGAAUUGAAUAAUAGUUGAAGUUAAUUUUGCCAGUGAAAUGUAGGGAAAGAAAAAUGUUUGAAAUUUAAAUUAUUCAGAUAGCUAAAUUCUUAAUCCUAAAAUUUAAACCCCUUAAUUCUGUCUGUAGUGUUAUAUCAAGACUUUUUGAUAGUCAUGAAACUGAGUAAAACUUUAUUCAGAUUACUUAAAAACAGCUUUUCCUGUGGUUAAUAACACCUUUAUUUUGAACAGAGUACUCUUAAGCAACUUAUAUUGUGCUGAUUAAAGAUUUAAUCUGUGCAUAUUUUUUAUCCUGUUGUUUAUUUAGUUUUGAUAACUGUGAAAUAAACCAUAAUUAAAUCAC
This 3378-nucleotide long non-coding RNA is filed under the name Homo sapiens (human). Its description in RNAcentral is "non-protein coding lnc-FRMD4A-4:1". Lineage: Eukaryota; Metazoa; Chordata; Mammalia; Primates; Hominidae. The record is from RNAcentral.